Molecule: long non-coding RNA, 392 nt
Organism: Astatotilapia calliptera (eastern happy)
Lineage: Eukaryota; Metazoa; Chordata; Actinopteri; Cichliformes; Cichlidae
Source: Ensembl
GUUUGAGGAUUUAUGCGACUGAAUGUGGGGCUGAAAACCCUGAACACCUACGUUCAACGCAGUUGCGCAAACAUGUCGCAACUUUGUCUCAGAUCUUAAACCUCAAGAAUCACGAGUUAGACCAAGUUGCCAACUUCCUAGGUCAUGAUAUUCGUGUUCAUCGCGAAUAUUAUAGACUUCCAGAGGCUACUACCCAGCUUGCCAAAAUAUCCAAACUACUGAUUGCCAUGGAGAAAGGGUCUCUCAAAAGCCUUCAAGGCAAAACACUUGAAGAGAUUGAAAUCGAAGAUAACCUACAGUUGACAGAUUCAAGUGAAGAAAGUGAGGUCGGAGCGGAGCGUGAGGAGGUCGGAGCGGAGCGUGAGGAGGUCGGAGCGGAGCGUGAGGAGGUC